Long non-coding RNA from Daucus carota subsp. sativus, 863 nucleotides. RefSeq lists it as uncharacterized. The record is from RefSeq and is a predicted model, not a curated record. Lineage: Eukaryota; Viridiplantae; Streptophyta; Magnoliopsida; Apiales; Apiaceae. The transcript is spliced from 4 exons.
CACCUGAGCAAUUAAUGGAUAUUCAGCGGAGACAAGCAUAUGGCAUGAUAAUAGAAAAGAGGCGAAAUAGACUUUAAGUGUUUUUUUACCAAUACAAUUGGGGAGAAAUAGAUAAGCUAUUGGAAUAAGAGCCAAAAGUUGGCUAAAAUAUGAUACCUGAAGAAGCUGUUCCAGCAAAAACUGCUUGCAUGUAUUGUUUUGGUAGAUUUCCCGAAGAUCCUAUCAGACUUCCCCCUAUUAAGCCAUCAGCCAAACCACAGAAUAUGACUGCGGCAACUACUAAAUUGAAGUCAGUAGCUGAUCUCACUCUCGAUUGCUUGCUGAACCAAGCCCAGUCUAUAAUCGGACUUGCCAUUAUAGAGAGAAUAAACAUGGAAAAUCCAAUGUUCAUCCGCAAUCUGAAGGUCAGUUUUUUGCUCAGAUUACUACCCCAACUUAUCAUCACCACUAAGACCAGAACAGAUGAAGUCAUGUAAGCUACUGAGAAAACCUUUUCUACAUGUCUGGUUGAAUAAAUAGAGCCAAAAUAAUCGAUAGCAGUAAUCAAAGCAUUCCAUGGAAUUAAAUUUCCUGCACCAAGCCUAUAAGGUGCCACUAAGAUUUUGCUUUCUCCAUUCAUUUCAGAUUGUGCCAUUAUAAAGCUAAGGAAUCUUCGGUUACGGACGGAGCAGAAUCAAAGCAUGAGGCAUUUUGGUCCCUGUGUAGCUUGUGAAACUUAUCUCUGUCUCAUAUAUUCUGAUUUCCUUUUGAUCUUUUUUCUAUUAGUUGCUGCUGAUACCCUACUUUACAAUUUAAUUAUGCUGUUUUUUUUUGUUUUUUUCUCUUCACUUGCUGAAAAUCAAUAAUGGUUGAAAAUUCUUUUA